UUAAGGCUGAGACGUGAUGCCGAGCCGAUUCAGGUGAAGUCAGUGAUCCUAUGCUGCCGAGAAAAGCCUCUAGCGAGUUCUUAGCGGCCCGUACCCCAAACCGACACAGGUGGUCAGGUAGAGAAUACCAAGGCGACGGGCGAACUGUGGUUAAGGAACUCGGCAAAUUACCCCCGUAACUUCGGGAGAAGGGGGGCCGGACACGUGAAGCAACACGCUUGUGGAGCGUGGUAUGGCCGCAGAGACCAGGGGGAAGCGACUGUUUACUAAAAACACAGGUCCAUGCGAAGAAGUAGUUCGAUGUAUAUGGACUGACGCCUGCCCGGUGCUGGAACGUUAAGGGGACCUGUUAGCUCUUCGGGGCGAAGCGGAGAACUUAAGCGCCAGUAAACGGCGGUGGUAACUAUAACCAUCCUAAGGUAGCGAAAUUCCUUGUCGGGUAAGUUCCGACCUGCACGAAUGGCGUAACGACUUCCCUACUGUCUCAACCACAGGCCCGGCGAAAUUGCAGUACGAGUAAAGAUGCUCGUUACGCGCGGCAGGACGGAAAGACCCCGGGACCUUUACUAUAGCUUGACAUUGGUAUCUGAGUUAAUUUGUGUAGGAUAGGUGGGAGCCUGUGAAGCUCGUACGCCAGUACGGGUGGAGGCAAUCUUGAAAUACCACUCUGGUUGAUUCGGGUAUCUAACUUCGGACCGUGAUCCGGUUCAGGGACAGUGUCUGGUGGGUAGUUUAACUGGGGCGGUUGCCUCCUAAAGAGUAACGGAGGCGCCCAAAGGUUCCCUCAGCCUGGUUGGCAAUCAGGUGUUGAGUGUAAGUGCACAAGGGAGCUUGACUGUGAGACUGACAGGUCGAGCAGGGACGAAAGUCGGGACUAGUGAUCCGGCACCGGCAUGUGGAAGCGGUGUCGCUCAACGGAUAAAAGGUACCCCGGGGAUAACAGGCUGAUCUUCCCCAAGAGUCCAUAUCGACGGGAUGGUUUGGCACCUCGAUGUCGGCUCGUCGCAUCCUGGGGCUGUAGCAGGUCCCAAGGGUUGGGCUGUUCGCCCAUUAAAGCGGUACGCGAGCUGGGUUUAGAACGUCGUGAGACAGUUCGGUCCCUAUCCGCCGUGCGCGUAGGAUACUUGAGAAGGGCUGUCCCUAGUACGAGAGGACCGGGACGGACGAACCUCUGGUGUGCCAGUUGUCCCGCCAGGGGCACGGCUGGUUAGCUACGUUCGGAAGGGAUAACCGCUGAAAGCAUCUAAGCGGGAAGCUCGCUUCAAGAUGAGGUAUCCC
RNAcentral lists this ribosomal RNA (1278 nucleotides) under metagenome. Its description in RNAcentral is "bacterial LSU rRNA". It matches the Rfam family "Bacterial large subunit ribosomal RNA", at positions 1550 to 2815 of the family's 2925-position model. The record is from RNAcentral.